RNAcentral lists this long non-coding RNA (378 nucleotides) under Mytilus galloprovincialis (Mediterranean mussel). The record is from RNAcentral. Lineage: Eukaryota; Metazoa; Mollusca; Bivalvia; Mytilida; Mytilidae.
CGUUUUGUGAAUAUGUACUCGAUGCAAUCUCUAUCAUCAGUUUUAACAUUACAUCCUCGUAUGUCGAUUCUUUGAAAGUUACGGACAUCUCUAUUGGUAUGAUGAAAAAAGUUACGGACAAGUUGUUUUGAAGUUACGGACAGCCUAAGUGUUUUUUUAAAUCGUGCUGUGAUCGUUUAUUUUGUAGAAUUUAAUCACCUUUCCAGUUUAGGGGUUUCCCUAAACGAUUAAUACAACUUUUAAAUUCAGUUGUUUAAUUGAUGCAUUCGUGGUAUUGUUAUUCUAUAGAAGAAAAGUAUCUAACCGACGCAAGGCGGCUCCAUCUUGGGCUGUGGGUAACUUAAGUUACCCACAGCCGUUUAAGCACAGUGAUCACGG